RNAcentral lists this ribosomal RNA (217 nucleotides) under uncultured bacterium. RNAcentral describes it as "partial 16S ribosomal RNA". It matches the Rfam family "Bacterial small subunit ribosomal RNA", at positions 1284 to 1500 of the family's 1533-position model. The record is from RNAcentral.
CGUCCCAGUUCGGAUUGUAGUCUGCAACCCGACUACAUGAAGCUGGAAUCGCUAGUAAUCGCGAAUCAGAAUGUCGCGGUGAAUACGUUCCCGGGUCUUGUACACACCGCCCGUCACACCAUGGGAGUCGGAAAUGCCCGAAGUCAGUGACCCAACCGUAAGGAGGGAGCUGCCGAAGGUGGAGCCGGUAACUGGGGUGAAGUCGUAACAAGGUAUC